RNAcentral lists this ribosomal RNA (1553 nucleotides) under candidate division WWE3 bacterium CG22_combo_CG10-13_8_21_14_all_39_12. RNAcentral describes it as "bacterial SSU rRNA". It matches the Rfam family "Bacterial small subunit ribosomal RNA". The record is from RNAcentral. Lineage: Bacteria; candidate division WWE3.
UUUUAUUGAGAGUCUGAUCCUGGCUCAGGAUGAACGCUGGCGGCAUGCCUAAGCUAUGCAAGUCGAACGGGUCCGACGUCGUACAUCGCAAGAUGUAUCUCAUCGGACUAGUGGCAGACGGGUGAGUAACACGUAGGAACGUGCCUCAAAGUCAGGAAUAGCCCAGAGAAAUCUGGAUUAAUCCCGGAUAGUCCCAUUAAACCGAGAGGUUUUUUGGGUAAAGUGACUAGUUUACUAGUCAUGCUUUGAGAUCGGCCUGCGUCCUAUCAGCUAGUUGGUGAGGUAAUGGCUCACCAAGGCGAUGACGGGUAGGGGGCGUGAGAGCGCGACCCCCCACAAGGGCACUGAGAUACGGGCCCUACACCUACGGGUGGCAGCAAGUAGGAAUCAUGCGCAAUGGGGGAAACCCUGACGCUGCGAUGCCGCGUGUGGGAUGACGGUCAUAAUGACUGUAAACCACUGUGGAGUGGGAAGAUGAUGACGGUACCACUCUAGAAAGCAGUUGCUAACUACGUGCCAGAAGCCUCGGUCAUACGUAGGCUGCAAGCGUUGUCCGGAGUUAUUGGGCGUAAAGGGUUGGGUAGGUGGUUCGAUGCGUCGAAGGUUAAAUCUCACGGCUCAACCGUGAAUAUGCUUUCGAUACGGUCGAACUAGAACAUCGUAGGGGCUAGCAGAACAGUGCAAGUAGGGGUAAAAUCCGUUGAUAUGCACUGGAAUACCAAAGGCGUAGGCAGCUAGCUGGGCGAUUGUUGACACUGAACCACGAAAGCUAGGGGAGCGAAACGGAUUAGAUACCCGUGUAGUCCUAGCCGUAAACGAUGGACACUAGCUUGGUGUUCCACUCAGAUCUUCAUUAGUGGAGGUUUGUGUGGAUUGCCAGGCGUAAGCUAACGCGUUAAGUGUCCCGCCUGGGGAGUACGGUCGCAAGAUUAAAACUUAAGGGAAUUGGCGGGGGCUCGCACAAGCGGUGGAGCGCGUGGUUUAAUUGGAUGUUACGCCAAGAACCUUACCAGGCCUUGACAUGUUUUUCUUAAUGCUCUUUCAGAAACGUUAGAGAAUCUGUUUAAUCAGAGGGAAUUCACAGGUGUUGCACGGCUGUCGUCAGCUCGUCUCGUGAGAGGUAGGGUUAAGUCCUACAACGAGCGCAACCCGUACCGUGUGUUGUAUCACUCACGCGGAACUGCCCUCGUAAGGGGGAGGAAGGUGCGGACGACGUCAAGUCAGCGUUGCCCUUAUGGCCUGGGCGACACACACGCUACAAUGGCGCAGAUAGCAGGUUGCCACCUCGUAAGAGGGAGCUAAUCCCUAAACUGCGUCCCAGUUCGGAUUGAGGUCUGUAACUCGACCUCAUGAAGUUGGAAUCGCUAGUAACCGCGUAUCAGCCAUGGCGCGGUGAAUACGUUCUCGAGCCUUGCACACACCGCCCGUCACAUAAGCCGAGUUGGGAAUAGCCGAAGACUGCAUUUAUUGUGGUUUAAGCUAGGCUCAGCGAGGAGUGUGAAGUCGUAACAAGGUGUCCGUAGGGGAAUCUGCGGACGGAUCACCUCCUUUCU